Molecule: ribosomal RNA, 465 nt
Filed under: uncultured bacterium
Lineage: Bacteria
Description: partial 16S ribosomal RNA
Rfam family: Bacterial small subunit ribosomal RNA
Source: RNAcentral
GACGAACGCUGGCGGCGUGCUUAACACAUGCAAGUCGAACGGAAAGGCCCUGCUUUUGUGGGGUGCUCGAGUGGCGAACGGGUGAGUAACACGUGAGUAACCUGCCCUUGACUUUGGGAUACUUCAGGAAACUGGGGCUAAUACCGGAUAGGAGCUCCUGCUGCAUGGUGGGGGUUGGAAAGUUUCGGCGGUUGGGGAUGGACUCGCGGCUUAUCAGCUUGUUGGUGGGGUAGUGGCUUACCAAGGCUUUGACGGGUAGCCGGCCUGAGAGGGUGACCGGCCACAUUGGGACUGAGAUACGGCCCAGACUCCUACGGGAGGCAGCAGUGGGGAAUAUUGCACAAUGGGCGGAAGCCUGAUGCAGCAACGCCGCGUGCGGGAUGACGGCCUUCGGGUUGUAAACCGCUUUCGCCUGUGACGAAGCGUGAGUGACGGUAAUGGGUAAAGAAGCACCGGCUAACUACG